RNAcentral lists this ribosomal RNA (506 nucleotides) under uncultured bacterium. RNAcentral describes it as "partial 16S ribosomal RNA". It matches the Rfam family "Bacterial small subunit ribosomal RNA", at positions 29 to 523 of the family's 1533-position model. The record is from RNAcentral.
AUUGAACGCUGGCGGCAGGCCUAACACAUGCAAGUCGAACGGCAGCACAGAAGAGCUUGCUCUUUGGGUGGCGAGUGGCGGACGGGUGAGUAAUGUCUGGGAAACUGCCCGAUGGAGGGGGAUAACUACUGGAAACGGUAGCUAAUACCGCAUAACGUCGCGAGACCAAAGUGGGGGACCUUCGGGCCGCACACCAUCGGAUGUGCCCAGAUGGGAAUAGCGAGUAGGUGGGGUAAUGGGCCACCUAGGCGACGAUCCCUAGCUGGUCUGAGAGGAUGACCAGCCACACUGGAACUGAGACACGGUCCAGACUCCUACGGGAGGCAGCAGUGGGGAAUAUUGCACAAUGGGCGCAAGCCUGAUGCAGCCAUGCCGCGUGUAUGAAGAAGGCCUUCGGGUUGUAAAGUACUUUCAGCGGGGAGGAAGGCGGUGAGGUUAAUAACCUUGCCGAUUGACGUUACCCGCAGAAGAAGCACCGGCUAACUCCGUGCCAGCCGCCGCCGUAA